RNAcentral lists this ribosomal RNA (502 nucleotides) under uncultured bacterium. RNAcentral's name for it is "partial 16S ribosomal RNA". It matches the Rfam family "Bacterial small subunit ribosomal RNA", at positions 30 to 523 of the family's 1533-position model. The record is from RNAcentral.
AUUGAACGCUGGCGGCAGGCUUAACACAUGCAAGUCGAGCGGGGUGAUGGUGCUUGCACUAUCACUUAGCGGCGGACGGGUGAGUAAUGCUUAGGAAUCUGCCUAUUAGUGGGGGACAACAUCUCGAAAGGGAUGCUAAUACCGCAUACGUCCUACGGGAGAAAGCAGGGGAUCACUUGUGACCUUGCGCUAAUAGAUGAGCCUAAGUCGGAUUAGCUAGUUGGUGGGGUAAAGGCCUACCAAAGCGACGAUCUGUAGCGGGUCUGAGAGGAUGAUCCGCCCCACUGGGACUGAGACACGGCCCAGACUCCUACGGGAGGCAGCAGUGGGAAUAUUGGACAAUGGGGGGAACCCUGAUCCAGCCAUGCCGCGUGUGUGAAGAAGGCCUUAUGGUUGUAAAGCACUUUAAGCGAGGAGGAGGCUCUUUUGGUUAAUACCCAAGAUGAGUGGACGUUACUCGCAGAAUAAGCACCGGCUAACUCUGUGCCAGCCGCCGCAGUAA